RNAcentral lists this ribosomal RNA (466 nucleotides) under uncultured bacterium. RNAcentral's name for it is "partial 16S ribosomal RNA". It matches the Rfam family "Bacterial small subunit ribosomal RNA", at positions 28 to 507 of the family's 1533-position model. The record is from RNAcentral.
GAUGAACGCUGGCGGCGUGCUUAACACAUGCAAGUCGAACGAUAAAGCCCAGCUUGCUGGGUGUAUUAGUGGCGAACGGGUGAGUAACACGUGAGUAACCUGCCCUUAACUCUGGGAUAAGCCUGGGAAACUGGGACUAAUACCGGAUAGGAGCGCCUACCGCAUGGUGGGUGUUGGAAAGCUUUUUCGGUUUUGGAUGGACUCGCGGCCAAUCAGCUUGUUGGGGAGGGAAUGGCUCACCAAGGCGAAGACGGGUAUCCGGCCUGAGAGGGUGACCGGCCACACUGGGACUGAGGGACGGCCCAGACUCCUACGGGAGGCAGCAGUGGGGAAUAUUGCCCAAUGGUCGAAAGCCUGAUGCAGCGACGCCGCGUGAGGGAUGACGGCCUUCGGGUUGUAAAACUCUUUCAGUAGGGACGAAGCGAAAGUGACGGUACCUGCAGAAGAAGCACCGGCUAACUACGUG